RNAcentral lists this ribosomal RNA (252 nucleotides) under uncultured bacterium. RNAcentral's name for it is "partial 16S ribosomal RNA". It matches the Rfam family "Bacterial small subunit ribosomal RNA", at positions 524 to 776 of the family's 1533-position model. The record is from RNAcentral.
UACGUAGGGUGCGAGCGUUGCCCGGAUUUAUUGGGCGUAAAGGGCGCGUAGGUGGUCACGCACGUCCGUUGUGAAAUCGCUCGGCUCAACUGGGCGGGUCAGCGGAUACGGCGUGGCUGGAGCAAGCUAGGGGGCAAUGGAAUUCCCGGUGUAGUGGUGGAAUGCGUAGAUAUCGGGAGGAACACCAGUGGCGAAGGCGGUUGCCUGGAGCUUUGCUGACGCUGAUGCGCGAAAGCGUGGGGAGCGAGUCGG